Non-coding RNA from Phrynosoma platyrhinos (Desert horned lizard), 72 nucleotides. NCBI's taxonomy places the organism in Eukaryota, Metazoa, Chordata, Lepidosauria, Squamata, Phrynosomatidae. The record is from the annotation of a GenBank genome assembly.
GCCAGUGUGGUGUAGUGGUUUGGGUGUUAGACUAGGACUCUAGAGAACAGGGUUUGAAUCUCUGCUCAGCCA